GACGAACGCUGGCGGCGCGCCUAACACAUGCAAGUCGAACGGAGCAUUUGAGCAAGCUCAAAUGCUUAGUGGCGAACGGGUGAGUAACACGUGAGCAAUCUGCCUUCGAGUGGGGGACAACAGUUGGAAACGACUGCUAAUACCGCAUAAGACCACGAUCCCGCAUGGGAUAGCGGUCAAAAGGAUUUAUUCGCUUGAAGAUGAGCUCGCGUCCGAUUAGAUAGUUGGUGAGGUAACGGCCCACCAAGUCGACGAUCGGUAGCCGGACUGAGAGGUUGAACGGCCACAUUGGGACUGAGACACGGCCCAGACUCCUACGGGAGGCAGCAGUGGGGAAUAUUGCACAAUGGGGGAAACCCUGAUGCAGCGACGCCGCGUGAGCGAAGAAGAUCCUUCGGAUUGAAAGCUCUGUCUUAAGGGGGACGAUAAUGACGGUACCCUGAGAGGAAGCCACGGCUAACUACGUGCCAGCAGCCGCGGU
RNAcentral lists this ribosomal RNA (481 nucleotides) under uncultured bacterium. Its description in RNAcentral is "bacterial SSU rRNA". It matches the Rfam family "Bacterial small subunit ribosomal RNA", at positions 28 to 521 of the family's 1533-position model. The record is from RNAcentral.